RNAcentral lists this microRNA (21 nucleotides) under Octopus vulgaris (common octopus). RNAcentral describes it as "Ovu-Mir-12561-v2_3p (mature (guide))". The record is from RNAcentral. Lineage: Eukaryota; Metazoa; Mollusca; Cephalopoda; Octopoda; Octopodidae. RNAcentral also lists the same sequence under 1 other name.
UGUCCAUAGCACACGUGGAUG